AAAGAAAAUAAGUAAAGAGCAAAGAAAAGAAACAGAAUAGGCAAACAAAAAGCAGGGGAAGGAAAGAAAGAAAGAAGAAAGAAAAGAAAAAGGGAGAAUUAGGGUUUGAAGGUUUGAAAGUUUAAUAGGUAAGUUAAUUUAGCCCUUUUUAUUUAAUUUUAAUGUUUUAAAAGCUUUAGAACAAAGUUUUGAUGAAAUUAAAUUAAUAUUUUGAAAGUUAUUAGAAUUCUAAAUAUUGUUCAUGUUGAAUAAAAAAAAUGAAAUAGGGGUUUAAUUGAAUGAAAUUCAAGUUAAAAUAGAUAUAAGGAUCGAAUUGCAAAGUAAGCUAUAAGUUUUGUGUUUUAGGGACUAAAUUGAGGAAAAUUUCGGAAUUAAGAAAAUAUGUUGAAAAUUUAAUAGUUAAAUUUGAGUUUAAAUGAAAUUUGAAUAGACAUAAGGUGUGAAUUGGUGUUAUAAAUUUGGUUAUUAACAUUUUACAUCAAAACAGUUUUGGGAAGUAGCAAUGGUCUGACUUUGAAAAUUCACUAAAAAUUGUAUAAAUUGAACUAGAGGAUGAAAAAAAUAUGUAAUUAAAGCUUAUUGAGUCUAGUUUCUUAUAGUAUAAAUAUUGUAAGCAAUGAAUUGAUGAAUCAAGAGAUAUUUGAAAUUUUGUAAGACUGGUUUGGGGUGAUUUCGAGAUGCCCUGUUUUAACUUUGGAAAAUCAUUAUAAAUUGUACAAAAAUUAUUAUGGAGUGUAAUUUAUAUGUGUGAACUCCUUAAUGAAUCUAGUUUCAAAAUAAGUAAACAAGAACCUUAUUCGAGUUCUGUACAAUGAGAUAAUUUAUUUUUAGUAGAGAGAGGUCAGAACUGUCAAAUGAAAUAACAGGGGAGUAUUUAAUGAAUAAACUGUACUAAUUGGCUAGACCAAAAAUUCUGAAAAUCUUAUGGUGAGAAGAUAUAUGAGUCUAGUUUUAAGAAAAUUUAUGGAUAUUAAUUUGGAGUUUCGUAACUCAAGAUAUAAAUAAUUUAGUAACAAUGACUCAAGUAGACAGCUUAAUGGUGAAAUUGUAUAUAUACAUUAAAAAUGGUUAAAUUUGCAUGUUUAGGCUCAUGGAUUAAAUUGAAUUGUGUUAUAUUGAUGAUUAUAAAUUAUUAUUAUUUUCGUAGUUAACAAAUAACCCAAGACAUCGGUGCACAAAGGAAAGGAGAAAGCUAUCGAGGAUUAAAACGAGAAAUUCACGGUUUGUAUUACUAUAAUUCAAAUUACUUUUUAUUAAAUGCUAUAUAUCAAUUCUAUAUUUAAUAAGUGAAUUAUAAGGUAAGUAUUGAUAUUGGAGUUGAAUGAGAAUUGAAUUGAAUGGUGAAUGUGUAUGUAUAAUUGAAUUGUAAAUUGAUUUGAAUGUGAAAAUUUUAAUUGAAAAGUAAUCUUGGAAUGGAAAUGAAAGUGAAUUGAGAAUUGAAAUACCCUAUUAACUAGUCGGGCUAAGUCGGAUAUAAUUGGCAUGCCAUAGGAUAUGGAAGUGUACGGGAUUUGCCGGCUUUAUCGAUCAGACACUUUAUGUGUCGUAUUUCAGGCACCUCGUGUGUCGUAUCAGGCACCUCGUGUGUCGUUUUAGGCACUUUAUGUGUCGUAUACUGAUCAGGUACUAUGUACCGUUUUAGGCACAAUGUGCCGUACUGGUGUGUUUGGGUUGGAAUUCGUGUAUCCGUUAAAGUCCGAAAUGUUAAUAGGGUGAAUAAUUGAAAUGAGAAGUUCAAAUGAAUUUGAUCGACUGUACUAGUGAAUAUGAAAUAAAUUAAAAUUGUGGACUGAAAAUUUAGAUUGGAAAUGAAAUGCAUGGAUUUAAAAUGAUUGUGGUGAUUAAAACCUGGUAAAUGUGAUUUGUAACUAAAAUUGAAUAAUAGCUAAAGAUUGUUUAUUUAUUGUUAUUUAAUGAUAACUUAAAAAAAAAGAAAAAGAAUUGUUAUUUGAUGCUGAGUUCUUAUUUUAUUUUUUUAAUUGCUAUUGCAAUUUGAAUUAUGGUAAUACCACUGAGUAUGAAAUACUCAGCGUACGGUUGUUUUCGUGCGCAGGUUAAUAGAAGUCUAGUGUCCUGGUCCAGCAUCCGAGUGAUCCUGACUCCAGCAAAUUUUGGGUGAUGUUUUCUUUCUUAAUUGAAAGUGGCAUGUACUAGGUGUUGUAUAAGUUAUAUAGAUGUACUUGUAAAGUUAGUUAUAAGAAUGGUAUACCAUAUUUUGUUAUUAGUUUGAUAAAAUGGUAAAUAUUAUAUUAUAUAAUUUGGUAUAAGUUGGAAUGAAAAAAAAUGAAUGAAAUUAUUAGUUAAUUUGGAUUAAUAUUAUGAAUGUUUAGUUAUUAAAUGACUAUGUUAAUGAAUUGGUUAUGAUUUAGAUAUAUUUAGGUUUAAAUUGUUUUUGAUUGUGCCAUUGGUUUUGGAUUAGUUGGUUUUUGGUUUGAAUUUGCAGGG
This 2445-nucleotide long non-coding RNA is filed under the name Gossypium barbadense (sea-island cotton). Its description in RNAcentral is "long non-coding RNA (GBAR_LNC003855)". Lineage: Eukaryota; Viridiplantae; Streptophyta; Magnoliopsida; Malvales; Malvaceae. The record is from RNAcentral.